Non-coding RNA from Vigna angularis (adzuki bean), 119 nucleotides. The record is from Rfam. Lineage: Eukaryota; Viridiplantae; Streptophyta; Magnoliopsida; Fabales; Fabaceae.
AGGUGCGAUCAUACCAGCACUAAUGCACCGGAUCCCAUCAGAACUCCGCAGUUAAGUGUGCUUUGGCGAGAGUAGUACUAGGAUGGCUGACCUCUUGGGAAGUCCUCGUUUUGCACCUC